This 668-nucleotide long non-coding RNA is filed under the name Phoenix dactylifera (date palm). Its description in RNAcentral is "long non-coding RNA (PDAC_LNC007666)". Lineage: Eukaryota; Viridiplantae; Streptophyta; Magnoliopsida; Arecales; Arecaceae. The record is from RNAcentral.
UCAUGCAAAUCUAGAUUUCAUCAACAACCUCAACAAUAUUGACAAAAGACCAUACAUCAACUUAUAAAUCUAAAUUUUGAAUUUAAGUUUCAUAUACAUUACAUAGUCUUCGAUAGAUAUAAAUGAGAUCUAUUAUUUGGAUCCAAAGAUGAUAAUUAAAAUUAUUAAGGAUUCCACCAAGAUGAAUACUUUACGGUCUCUAAUAAAAUCAAUUAUUCAAUAAGAAAAUAGACCUAUUUGUAAUAUCUCCCAGCAUAUUUUUUUUCUACAUAAGAGUUUCAUCCAUAAUCGAUAUACAUGUUCAAACCUCAAAGCAUAUUCCAGUUAGGUAUCAUAAAAUUCUUUCAUAGCUCAAAUUUUAAACAACGUUUUAUAAAUGGACUUUAACUUGCCACUACAAUAAUUAACUUCAAUUUAGAAGUAGUAUCACAGUACCCAAUAUCAAGUUGAACUUCCAAAUUAAUUAAUAAACAAAUAAUUGUAUUGCACGAUAACAUAAUAUAUAUAUAUAUAUCUCUUUUUGAAAUAUACUAUUAUUUUUUUAAACUAAUACCAGAAAUCCAAUAAUACGCUAUGCCCACGUAACCCGGUGGCAUGGGUCAUAAUGCACAAUGUGCCAAAAACUACUAUCAUUAACUACCGGUGGCAUAGUGUAUAAAUUUCACUNN